AUAAUCAAGUAGUGAUCCUGCAGAGCUCUUUAACCACAUCGGAGCUAAAGUGAACUGGUCAUAUCGGGAAACACUGUGCAAAACUUACAUUCGACGGACGGAACGGACUGACUCUGGAAAUCACAUCACAAUAAGUCAUGCCACGGGGAAAACGCCGAGCUGCAGAUACUAUUAGCGACAACAUGGAUCAUGGUCAACCGAAGAGGGCCCGAACCAGCUACACCAGCAUACCCACACAACAGAGCAGCAGGUGAGUGGAGGAAAAUAGG
RNAcentral lists this small RNA (269 nucleotides) under Drosophila yakuba. Its description in RNAcentral is "GE28750". The record is from RNAcentral. Lineage: Eukaryota; Metazoa; Arthropoda; Insecta; Diptera; Drosophilidae.